AUUGAACGCUGGCGGCAUGCCUUACACAUGCAAGUCGAACGGUAACAGGUCUUCGGAUGCUGACGAGUGGCGAACGGGUGAGUAAUACAUCGGAACGUGCCUAGUAGUGGGGGAUAACUACUCGAAAGAGUGGCUAAUACCGCAUGAGAUCUACGGAUGAAAGCAGGGGAUCGCAAGACCUUGUGCUACUAGAGCGGCCGAUGGCAGAUUAGGUAGUUGGUGGGAUAAAAGCUUACCAAGCCGACGAUCUGUAGCUGGUCUGAGAGGACGAUCAGCCACACUGGGACUGAGUAACGGCCCAGACUCCUACGGGAGGCAGCAGUGGGGAAUUUUGGACAAUAGGCGAAAGCCUGAUCCAGCAAUGCCGCGUGCAGGAUGAAGGCCUUCGGGUUGUAAACUGCUUUUGUACGGAACGAAAAGCCCCGGGUUAAUACCCUGGGGUCAUGACGGUACCGUAAGAAUAAGCACCGGCUAACUACGUGCCAGCCGCCGCCGUAA
RNAcentral lists this ribosomal RNA (498 nucleotides) under uncultured bacterium. Its description in RNAcentral is "partial 16S ribosomal RNA". It matches the Rfam family "Bacterial small subunit ribosomal RNA", at positions 30 to 523 of the family's 1533-position model. The record is from RNAcentral.